AGCUCUUGCUCUUGCUCCUUCGCCUGCUUGCCGUGUGAGACUGAGUAAUUGCUAGAUCCUUGGACUUCCAUUCACAGCUGCGACUGAACAAUUGUUGGGAAUUGGGCUGCCGACUCCAUCUUUCAAACACUGCCAAAUUAAGCUUUCUGCCAAGGUCUCCAUCUCCUGACUCCAUGGACUCUGAGACUUCACUCAACUCAAGAUCUCUGCUAUCAGUAAUUCCAGAAACUUACACCAUGAAGUGCCCUCAAAUCCAAAAACUCAACUUGACAGUAUUCCCCUGGAAGAGAUGAGUUUCACUCAAGCUGACCUCUAUAUUAACAGUGACUGUCUUCAUCCUUGUUUGGUGCAACCGAACCUGGUACCCUCAUUAGAUGUCAAAGUGUUGGCUAUUCUCUUUCCUAACUGCUCACAACUAAGAAGUAGAUGUGUCAUCUGUGGCCAGGAGGAUCUGAGGACACCUUUCCUAUGGUAGCUGUAAUGAUGCCCCUUUUUUCCUACUGAAGAGCAUUGUAACCCACAGAUAAGCAAGUAUGAACACCACCUCACAUAGCAAAAGGAAAUUUACAGAUGGAACUGUGUUAAGUAUCCUGUGACCGAGAGAGACUAUCUUGAAUUACUUGUGGAAGUCUAAUGUCAUUAUAACAACUAUUCUUGGUUGUCAACUUGUCUAAAUCUGGAAUUAACUAAAAUCCAAGUACACCUGUGAGAGAUUUUUCUUCUUAAUUAAAUCAUUUGAAGUAGGAAGACCC
Molecule: long non-coding RNA, 752 nt
Filed under: Mus musculus (house mouse)
Lineage: Eukaryota; Metazoa; Chordata; Mammalia; Rodentia; Muridae
Description: predicted gene 45593
Source: RNAcentral